This 2121-nucleotide long non-coding RNA is filed under the name Homo sapiens (human). RNAcentral's name for it is "HSALNT0307819". Lineage: Eukaryota; Metazoa; Chordata; Mammalia; Primates; Hominidae. The record is from RNAcentral.
AAGUGCUCUGCCUGCCUCAGCUUCCCAAAGUGCUGGCAUGAGCCACCGAGCCUGGCCUGAAUUUUUUAAAUGCACUUUUUUCUCAUUCACAGCAGCCAUUAAAUUCAAAAUACUUUUAUAGAUCAAUUCCAUAUAGUAAUUUUAAGGUGUACUUUGCCUUUCCUGGGUGAGAGUUACAUCUCUAUAUAAAUGAAACAGUAAGUCAUGGGCUUUCUCGUGUGAACACUAAGUGACUUGGCAAUGUACCGUGUUGUUGUGAGUACAUUGAUAAUACCGAGAUAAAUUCUGUUUUUCAGUCUUCAUGUCAUCACUGAUGAGGGAGAACCCUCAGCUUGACAGUCUAAGGAAAAUUUAAAGACCAAACCCAGGAUGGUAAAAUGGCAAGAGGAUGGGUUUUGGAGUAACACAACCCUAGUCACAAAUCCUGACUCUUCCCCCUUAAUAGCUGGAUGACCGUAACCUUCUGACCAUCCUCAUCUGUAAAAUGAGGAGAAAAAGACUCGCCCUGGGGAUGCUGAGUUUUGAAGAAGAAAAUGUAUUUGAAGCACUUAGCACAAAGCCUGAUUGUUCAUAACUUUCUGCACCCUUUUCUUUAUCUCCUUCCCUUCUCUUCUUUCACUUCUUUUGAUGUUGUACAAUAUAAUCAUGUUUCCAGAAGAAAAGAUUAAGCCAUGAAUUUCUCUAUCCUCUAUUUACACAAAUUACAUGUUUCUUUCUAAUAUGAAUCAUUAUACAAUUCUACCACAUUAAAAUAACAAUAAAUUAUGAUUAAAAUAUACUACUAAUAAUGAUAUUUUUCAUGUAUAUGACCUCCCAAGUUUGAAGAACUUGCUGAAUAUUAUAAUAAACUCUAAAGGGCAUGAUUGCCUCCUGUAACUGAAUCUAUCAAUAGGCAAGUCUUGAUCUAUGCUCAGAAGAUCUCAUUAAGAACCUGAUUUUGUAGUUUUUGCUUAGUGCACAGGCUGGGUUGUCCCCUCGUGGCCCUUAUGAUGCAGGAGAGAGAGGAAAAUUCUUCGAGAGAGACACUGGAGAAAGCAAGAGAGGAUGAGCAGAUAUUUGGGCAGAUUAUCUUGUGGGAAGAACAAUCAAAUGCAAAGGUAAUGGAGGAAGGAGUAUACUUGAUAUGAUAUAUUACACACUAAUAUAAUAUUUUUGCCAUUAAAAGUGAUGGCAAGAAGAGCAAUUACUUUUGCACCAACCUAAUAUAACACACUAGUGGCAAAUACACUAGCAAGAAGGCUAGUGUGACAGAAGCAGAGUGAUCACACAGAGUGGCAGGACAUGAGAUCAGAGAAAGAUCAAAAGGCCAGUUAACAUAGGGCCCUAUAGGGCAUUGCAUGGAUAUUGGCUAUGGCCCUGAGUAAGAUUUGAGGAUUUUGGAAAAGGAGUCACAUGAUUUCACAUUUUAUAAGAAUUACUCUGGGUACCAUGUUAAACUGGACCACAGAAAAACAAGAGAAAGCAGGGAGACUUGUUAGUACAUUUGCAAUAAAACAGGUGGAAAAUAGUUAUACCUUGGAUAAGGAUGUAGUAAUGAAGUUAUUGGGAAGAAUUUGAAUUCCGUGUAUAUUUUGAAAGUAGAACCACUAGGAUUUUCUCAUAGACUAGAUGUGGAAUAUGAUGGGAAGCAAUAAUAAGGUAUGUGAGAAAAGUCUGCAGGAGGGGGAGUUUAAGGGAGAACAAUUGGAAGCUUGAUUUUGUACUUGUGACACUUGCGGUGCCUAUUAGACAGCUUACAAGUUUAUAGCUGAUUAUAUAAAGUACUUACUCUGUUCCAGGCAGUUUUAAGUGCCUAAUCAACAUUAAUUCAUUUAAUCUUCACUACAACCCAGUAAAUGAGGUAUUUGGAAUUUAUGUGUCCUCAGUUCUUAAUAGGAUUUAAAACCACGAGACUGAAUGAGAUCACCAAGAAAGUAAGUGUAGAUGGAGAAAAGAAGACCAAGGACUGAGGUAGAAGCACUCUGAUACUUAGCAUUUAGGGACAUCACGGGACACCAACAAAGGAAAUUGAGAAAGAGUGGCCCAUAAUGGAGGAGGUAAAUGAGUGUCCCAGGAAUCAAGUGAAGUUAAGUGGAUCAGGAAAGAUGAAGCAUCAUGGUGUCAAAGCUACUGACAUUUCAA